Molecule: non-coding RNA, 73 nt
Organism: Parelaphostrongylus tenuis
Lineage: Eukaryota; Metazoa; Nematoda; Chromadorea; Rhabditida; Metastrongylidae
Source: the annotation of a GenBank genome assembly
GACCGCUUGGCGCAAUGGCAGCGCGUUUGACUCCAGAUGGAAAGGUUGGGCGUACGAUCCGCUUCAGUGGUCA